GCCCUUGUGGCGGAAUUGGUAGACGCAGUGGAUUCAAAAUCCACCGGUGGCAACACUGUGGGAGUUCGAGUCUCCCCGAGGGCACCA
RNAcentral lists this transfer RNA (87 nucleotides) under Bdellovibrionales bacterium CG10_big_fil_rev_8_21_14_0_10_45_34. RNAcentral describes it as "tRNA-Leu". It matches the Rfam family "tRNA". Rfam says of the family: Transfer RNA (tRNA) molecules are approximately 80 nucleotides in length. Their secondary structure includes four short double-helical elements and three loops (D, anti-codon, and T loops). Lineage: Bacteria; Pseudomonadati; Bdellovibrionota; Bdellovibrionia; Bdellovibrionales. The record is from RNAcentral.